Molecule: ribosomal RNA, 501 nt
Filed under: uncultured bacterium
Lineage: Bacteria
Description: bacterial SSU rRNA
Rfam family: Bacterial small subunit ribosomal RNA
Source: RNAcentral
GAUGAACGCUAGCGAUAGGCUUAACACAUGCAAGUCGAGGGGCAUCAACACUUUCGGGUGGUUGGCGACCGGCGCACGGGUGAGGAUCGCGUAUGCAACCUGCCUUUCACACGGGGAUAACCCGCGGAAACGCGGACUAAUAUCCGAUGUCGCUGAGGGACCGCAUGGUUUUUCGGCGAAAGAUUCAUCGGUGGGAGAUGGGCAUGCGUUCCAUUAGUUUGUUGGUGAGGUAACGGCUCACCAAGGCUUCGAUGGAUAGGGGAACUGAGAGGUUUAUCCCCCACACCGGUACUGAGACACGGACCGGACUCCUACGGGAGGCAGCAGUGAGGAAUAUUGGUCAAUGGGCGCAAGCCUGAACCAGCCAAAUCGCGUGAAGGAAGAAGGUAUUAUGUAUCGUAAACUUCUUUUAUAGGGGAAUAAAGUAGGGGACGCGUCCCCUUUUGCACGUACCCUUUGAAUAAGCAUCGGCUAACUCCGUGCCAGCAGCCGCAGUAAAAC